AAAGAUGAAGUAUUAGGUAGAAUUACAUCUCAGUUACAUUGAGAAGAACCAACAAAUUUUGGCGUCUUUA
RNAcentral lists this transfer RNA (70 nucleotides) under Tritonia iocasica. RNAcentral describes it as "tRNA-Val". Lineage: Eukaryota; Metazoa; Mollusca; Gastropoda; Nudibranchia; Tritoniidae. The record is from RNAcentral.